This 63-nucleotide transfer RNA is filed under the name Lanthanaphalara mira. RNAcentral describes it as "tRNA-Val". The record is from RNAcentral. Lineage: Eukaryota; Metazoa; Arthropoda; Insecta; Hemiptera; Aphalaridae.
UGGAGUUGCAGCGGAAGCGGUGAAAGAGCUAUGAGGGGUAGUUCUAAACUGGAGUUGCAGCGU